CCUACGGGAGGCAGCAGUGAGGAAUAUUGGUCAAUGGGCGGGAGCCUGAACCAGCCAAGCAGCGUGAAGGACGACUGUGCUACGGGUUGUAAACUUCUUUUAUAAAGGAAUAAAGUGAGGCACGUGUGCCUUUCUGUGUGUACUUUAAGAAUAAGGAUCGGCUAACUCCGUGCCAGCAGCCGCGGUAAUACGGAGGAUGCGAGCGUUAUCCGGAUUUAUUGGGUUUAAAGGGAGCGUAGAGGGGUAUUUAAGUCAGUGGUAAAAGUUGGGGGCUAAACCGUAGCAAGCCGUGGAAACUGGCUGCCUUGAGAUCACUAGAGGUAUGCGGAAUGCGCAGUGUAGCGGUGAAAUGCUUAGAUAUUGCGAAGAACUCCGAUUGCGAAGGCAGCUUACCGGCG
Molecule: ribosomal RNA, 398 nt
Filed under: uncultured bacterium
Lineage: Bacteria
Description: partial 16S ribosomal RNA
Rfam family: Bacterial small subunit ribosomal RNA
Source: RNAcentral